UGGGGAAUAUUGGACAAUGGGCGCAAGCCUGAUCCAGCCAUGCCGCGUGUGUGAUGAAGGCCUUAGGGUUGUAAAGCACUUUCACCGGAGAAGAUAAUGACGGUAUCCGGAGAAGAAGCCCCGGCUAACUUCGUG
This 135-nucleotide ribosomal RNA is filed under the name tylosin-resistant soil bacterium cfr5. RNAcentral's name for it is "partial 16S ribosomal RNA". It matches the Rfam family "Bacterial small subunit ribosomal RNA", at positions 355 to 507 of the family's 1533-position model. The record is from RNAcentral. Lineage: Bacteria; Pseudomonadati; Pseudomonadota; Alphaproteobacteria; Hyphomicrobiales; Rhizobiaceae.